GGCCCGUUAGCUCAAUGGAUCGAGCCGCAGCCUUCUAAUCUGCUGAUAGAGGUUCGAUUCCUCUACGGGCUA
RNAcentral lists this transfer RNA (72 nucleotides) under bacterium. It matches the Rfam family "tRNA". From Rfam's summary of the family: Transfer RNA (tRNA) molecules are approximately 80 nucleotides in length. Their secondary structure includes four short double-helical elements and three loops (D, anti-codon, and T loops). Further hydrogen bonds mediate the characteristic L-shaped molecular structure. tRNAs have two regions of fundamental functional importance: the anti-codon, which is responsible for specific mRNA codon recognition, and the 3' end, to which the tRNAs corresponding amino acid is attached (by aminoacyl-tRNA synthetases). tRNAs cope with the degeneracy of the genetic code in two manners: having more than one tRNA (with a specific anti-codon) for a particular amino acid; and 'wobble' base-pairing, i.e. permitting non-standard base-pairing at the 3rd anti-codon position. RNAcentral also lists the same sequence under 1 other name. The record is from Rfam by way of RNAcentral.